CUUGGUCAUUUAGAGGAAGUAAAAGUCGUAACAAGGUUUCCGUAGGGGAACCUGCGGAAGGAUCAUUAUUGAAUGAACUUGGUACGAUUGUUGCUGGCCUAUCUGGGCAUGUGCACGUCUGCCAUCUUUAUCUCUCCACCUGUGCACAUAUUGUAGGUCUGGAAUAAAUUUCUGAGGUAACUCAAUAGUGGGGAAUGCUGCUGCGAAGCGGCUUUGCCUGUAAUUUCAGAUCUAUGUUUUCAUAUACACCAUAAAAAUGUAACAGAAUGUAAUAAUGGGUCUUGUACCUAUAAACUAUAUACAACUUUCAGCAACGGAUCUCUUGGCUCUCGCAUCGGUGAAGAACGCAGCGAAAUGCGAUAAGUAAUGUGAAUUGCAGAAUUCAGUGAAUCAUCGAAUCUUUGAACGCACCUUGCGCUCCUUGGUAUUCCGAGGAGCAUGCCUGUUUGAGUGUCAUUAAAUUCUCAAUCUUAUUAGCUUUUGUUAAUAAAGACUUGGAUGUGGGGGGGAAAAUUUUUUGAAGGUUUCUCGCGAGCCUUCUCCCCUAAAAUGCAUUAGCUGGUCGCUCGCGCGAACUGUCUAUUGGUGUGAUAAUUAUCUACGCCAUUGACUAACUGCCAUAGUAGCACCGCUUCUAAUCGUCUUCGGACAAUAUAUGACAAUUUGACCUCAAAUCAGGUAGGACUACCCGCUGAACUUAAGCAUAUCAAUAAGCGGAGGA
RNAcentral lists this ribosomal RNA (721 nucleotides) under uncultured fungus. Its description in RNAcentral is "eukaryotic LSU rRNA". The stretch from base 303 to 456 matches the Rfam family "5.8S ribosomal RNA". The record is from RNAcentral. Lineage: Eukaryota; Fungi.